Molecule: ribosomal RNA, 301 nt
Filed under: uncultured bacterium
Lineage: Bacteria
Description: partial 16S ribosomal RNA
Rfam family: Bacterial small subunit ribosomal RNA
Source: RNAcentral
CAGCAGCCGCGGGAAUACGAAGGGUGCAAGCGUUAAUCGGAAUUACUGGGCGUAAAGCGUGCGUAGGCGGUGAGUUAAGUCUGCUGUGAAAUCCCCGGGCUCAACCUGGGAAUGGCAGUGGAUACUGGCUCGCUAGAGUGUGUCAGAGGAUGGUGGAAUUCCCGGUGUAGCGGUGAAAUGCGUAGGGAUCGGGAGGAACAUCAGUGGCGAAGGCGGCCAUCUGGGACAACACUGACGCUGAGGCACGAAAGCGUGGGGAGCAAACAGGAUUAGAUACCCCUGUAGUCCCUGUCUCUUAUAC